AUGGAAGCAGCGAUAGAUGCUGAUGAUGAUGAGGAGACAGAUGCGGAUGAAUCAGAGGAGGAGGACAAGGAUGAGGAUGACAAUGAAGAAGAUGCAGACGAGGAGGAGGAUGAGGAGGAAGAGGAGGAGGAGGAGAAGGAGGAGGAGGAGGAGGACAAACAAGAAGAGGACAAAGGAGAGGAGGAGGACAAGGAAGAAGAUAGUGAUGCAGAGGAGGAGGAAGAAGAAGGUGAGGCCAGAGAGGGGGACGGGGACAAAGGGGCAGCAGUUGAUGGCAGUGAGAGGGGAGAAGACAAAGGCGCAGAAGCUGAUGGCAGUGAGAGGGAAGAAUACGAGGAUGAAGAAGACGAGGAUGAUUAUGGCAUCACAAAGGAGCAGAUGAUGGAGCUACCAGGGAGGCAUUAUUGGGUCUUUAGUGUCAACUUGAGGGACAGACGCUUCAAAGUUCUUGAUUCAAGCAGGACGCUGGACAACAUUGAGCUGAUGAACAACACCUCUACCAUUGCGGGGGCAGUACGCCAGCUAUGGAGGAAGCAUUACCCAAAGUUCAGCAUCGAGCACUUCUAG
Molecule: ribosomal RNA, 567 nt
Filed under: Triticum aestivum (bread wheat)
Lineage: Eukaryota; Viridiplantae; Streptophyta; Magnoliopsida; Poales; Poaceae
Description: partial small subunit ribosomal RNA
Source: RNAcentral